Small nuclear RNA from Otolemur garnettii (small-eared galago), 106 nucleotides. The record is from Ensembl. Lineage: Eukaryota; Metazoa; Chordata; Mammalia; Primates; Galagidae.
GUGCUUGCUUCAGCAGUACAUAACUAAAACUGGAAUGAUACAGAGAAGAUUAGUAUGGCCGCUGAACAAGGAGAACACACAAAUUCAUGAAGUGUUCCAUAUUUUU